AGUGAACGCUGGCGGUAGGCCUAACACAUGCAAGUCGAACGGCAGCACAGUAAGAGCUUGCUCUUACGGGUUGCGAGUCGCGGACGGGUGAGGAAUACAUCGGAAUCUACUUUUUCGUGGGGGAUAACGUAGGGAAACUUACGCUAAUACCGCAUACGACCUACGGGUGAAAGCAGGGGAUCUUCGUACCUUGCGCGAUUGAAUGAGCCGAUGUCGGAUUAGCUAGUUGGCGGGGUAAAGGCCCACCAAGGCGACGAUCCGUAGCUGGUCUGAGAGGAUGAUAAGCCACACUGGAACUGAGACACGGUCCAGACUCCUAAGGGAGGCAGCAGUGGGGAAUAUUGGACAAUGGGCGCAAGCCUGAUCCAGCCAUACCGCGUGGGUGAAGAAGGCCUUCGGGUUGUAAAGCCCUUUUGUUGGGAAAGAAAAGCAGCAGGUUAAUACCCAGCUGUUCUGACGGUACCCAAAGAAUAAGCACCGGCUAACUUCGUG
RNAcentral lists this ribosomal RNA (492 nucleotides) under uncultured bacterium. RNAcentral describes it as "partial 16S ribosomal RNA". It matches the Rfam family "Bacterial small subunit ribosomal RNA", at positions 29 to 507 of the family's 1533-position model. The record is from RNAcentral.